UUUCUCUGGCAGAUGGGUGAUUGGGUAGGGAGAGGAUGAUGCCACUUGCCCGGGGGCUUCUUGCCAGGAACUGAAGAAACACCAGGAGGAAGAACAACAAUCGGAGAAAAAACUCCAGCCACCUAAGAAGUUAAAUGUGCCGCAACCACCAGUGGCGAAAUUGUGGACAUCACAGGAGCAACCACAGCCAUCACAGCAGCAGCCAUCAGUGCAGCCACCAUCGCAGACACCACCACAGCCAUCAACUUUGCCACAGGCACAGGCGCAGGCACAGGC
This 276-nucleotide small RNA is filed under the name Pongo abelii (Sumatran orangutan). RNAcentral describes it as "processed transcript". The record is from RNAcentral. Lineage: Eukaryota; Metazoa; Chordata; Mammalia; Primates; Hominidae.